CCCUUAGAUGUUCUGGGCCGCACGCGCGCUACACUGUUCGUCGCAGCGAGUCUUAACCUUGACCGAAAGGUUUGGGUAAUCUUCAGCAAAGACGAACGUGAUGGGGAUCGAUCAUUGCAAUUAUUGAUCGUGAACGAGGAAUUCCUAGUAAGUGCAAGUCAUCAGCUUGCGCUGAUUACGUCCCUGCCCUUUGUACACACCGCCCGUCGCUACUACCGAUUGAAUGGUCCGGUGAGGCCUUGGGAGGGCUAAGUGGGCUGUGUUUCACAGACCACCUGGCCCGAACCUGGUCAAACCUUAUCACUUAGAGGAAGGAGAAGUCGUAACA
Molecule: ribosomal RNA, 328 nt
Filed under: uncultured eukaryote
Lineage: Eukaryota
Description: partial 18S ribosomal RNA
Rfam family: Eukaryotic small subunit ribosomal RNA
Source: RNAcentral